GACGAACGCUGGCGGCGUGCUUAACACAUGCAAGUCGAACGGAAAGGCCCUGCUUUUGUGGGGUGCUCGAGUGGCGAACGGGUGAGUAACCCGUGAGUAACCUUCCCUUUACUUUGUGAUAACUUCAGGAAACUGGUGCUAAUACCGGAUAGGAGCUCCUGCUGCAUGGUGGGGGUUGGACAGUUUCGGCGGUUGGGGAUGUACUCGCGGCUUAUCAGCUUGUUGGUGGGGUAGUGGCUUACCAAGGCUUUGACGGGUAGCCGUCCUGAGAGGGUGACCGGCCACAUGGGGACUGAGAUACGGACCAGACGCGUACGGGAGGCAGCAGUGGGGAAUAUUGCACAAUGGGCGGAAGCGUGAUGCAGAAACGCCGCGAGCGGGAUGAAGGCCUUCGGGUUGUAAACCGCUUUCGCCUGUGACGAAGCGUGAGUGACGGUAAUGGGUAAAGAAGCACCGGCUAACUACGUG
This 468-nucleotide ribosomal RNA is filed under the name uncultured bacterium. Its description in RNAcentral is "partial 16S ribosomal RNA". It matches the Rfam family "Bacterial small subunit ribosomal RNA", at positions 28 to 507 of the family's 1533-position model. The record is from RNAcentral.